UACGGAGGAUCCGAGCGUUAUCCGGAUUUAUUGGGUUUAAAGGGUGCGCAGGCGGCCAUUUAAGUCAGCGGUUAAAUCGUGGGGCUCAACCCCAUUCUGCCGUUGAUACUGGGUGGCUUGAUUGCGGUCGAGGUUGGCGGAAUUCGUUGUGUAGCGGUGAAAUGCAUAGAUAUGACGAAGAACACCGAUUGCGUAGGCAGCUGACCAGACCGCAAAUGACGCUCAUGCACGAAAGUGCGGGGAUCGAACAGGAUUAGAUACCCUGGUAGUCCGCACAGUAAACGAUGAAUACUUGUUUUCGGCGAUAUAAUGUCGGAGGCAAAGCGAAAGCGAUAAGUACUCCACCUGGGGAGUACGCCGGCAACGGUGAAACUCAAAUGAAUUGACGGGG
This 391-nucleotide ribosomal RNA is filed under the name uncultured bacterium. RNAcentral describes it as "partial 16S ribosomal RNA". It matches the Rfam family "Bacterial small subunit ribosomal RNA", at positions 524 to 918 of the family's 1533-position model. The record is from RNAcentral.